Molecule: ribosomal RNA, 446 nt
Filed under: uncultured bacterium
Lineage: Bacteria
Description: bacterial SSU rRNA
Rfam family: Bacterial small subunit ribosomal RNA
Source: RNAcentral
UUCCAGACUCCUACGGGAGGCAGCAGUGGGGGAUAUUGCACAAUGGGGGCAACCCUGAUGCAGCGACGCCGCGUGAGCGAUGGAGUACUUCGGUAUGUAAAGCUCUGUCAGCAGGGAAGAGAAUGACGGUACCUGACUAAGAAGCCCCGGCUAACUACGUGCCAGCAGCCGCGGUAAUACGUAGGGGGCAAGCGUUAUCCGGAUUCACUGGGUGUAAAGGGAGCGUAGACGGCGACGCAAGUCUGGAGUGAAAGCCCGGGGCCCAACCCCGGGACUGCUCUGGAAACUGCGUCGCUGGAGUACGGGAGGGGCAGGCGGAAUUCCUGGUGUAGCGGUGAAAUGCGUAGAUAUCAGGAGGAACACCGGCGGCGAAGGCGGCCUGCUGGACCGUGACUGACGUUGAGGCUCGAGAGCGUGGGGAGCAAACAGGAUUAGAUACCCCCGUA